UUAGGCAUCCAGGUUCAGAAGGAAAUCCAGGGUCCCUCAGCAUGGCUUACCAGAGAGUGGUAGGACUUAAAGAACUAAGAGUAAGUGUAAAGUGAGGGAUUAGAGGAAAACCAAUGCAAAAGGUGGUCAUACCUAGCCAUGAACAGGGCUGGCACACCCCUGGCCUUUUACAUAGCUUAAACAAAUAAGAGCAGACUUGAAAUAAGUUAGACAUAGGCCUAUACUCAUGAAUAAGGAAAACCAAUGCAAAAGGUGGUCAUACCUAGCCAUGAACAAGGGCUGGCACACCCCUGACCUUUUACAUGGAUUAAAAAAAUAAGAGCAGACUUGAAAUAAGCCAGACUUAGGCAUGUGUGAUGAUUAGGACAUCAACAGACCUGAGUCAAGCUCAACACAUAAAUGGGGGUAAGGGAAUGGUACUGAUUUGAGUAGAGGUUGAAACAAUCUGGUUCCGAACUAAAGGUGGCAAUAGAGUGCCAAUCUAGUCCAAAACAAUACUCACAUACAAAAGAAAAAAAGGUUCAGGGAAAUGGACCAAAUAUGAAAGCAUUUGCAUAAAAACAGAAACAAAGUCAAACAGAAGUCAACUAAAGGGAUUUGGGGAGAGGGAAAUACAUGAAAGCAUUCAUACAAGCAUACAAUAUUAAAACAUAGGGGUAUAGGGGUAGGGAAAUACAUCCUGAAGUUUUAACUGCAUAAUGAACCUAAAUAGAUAUGUGAAAAGAAACAAUUAAACACGUAGUUUGGAGAUGGUAUUAAAUCAUAGACCUACCAGUUUGCAACUUCAAAUGGUAAAGCAAAUAUGGCAAAUAGAACCUUAUAGUUUGGCCUUGGCUUUCAGGCGGCUAAACUUGAUUAGCAGAACAAGUAAUAGAGAAAAACAGAGAGGAGAAGAGAGAAUUUUUUGAGUGUGAACUUGUAUUGGUCGUCCUGUUUGAAGUGAAGAGAAAUGGGUUUUUUAUAGUCUCAAAAUAAGUAGCAACUAAGGGAGGAAAAUAAAUCAGUAUCAAUCAAUAUCAAUUAGGGAAAGGAUUCCCUUUAAUGAAGGAACCGUACUUGAGGUAAAUAGGCAAGGUUCUAUUUUUGGGAAGAAAAUCAUGAACGAGUUGUAAAAUAAAGGGUAAAUACGUGUAUGAUUUUUGAAAUACACACGAUUUAAACAAAUAAGGUAAAUAAAAUCAUCAAUCUCAUAGGGAAUCAAGGAGACUGGGAUACGAAUUGAUACUGAAUUUAGUCAAAGAUCAUGUCCAAAUUAAAGAAUCAAAUAAGUUAGUAAAAUUAGUUUCUCAAAAUUAAGGUCAUUUUGAAAAGGGGAAGGCUGACCAUAAAAGGAUGCACAAAUUCAAACAGUCACGAAAUCAGAGAGCAAAAGAACAUAAGCAUGAAAUGGAUUAGAAAUUAUUGCAGAGCUUAGCAAGAAAUCAGAAGCAUGAAAAGGGACUCAGGUAACACACAAAAUCGAAAACCCCUAAAGUCUAGGGUUUCCUCCCAUUUCAAAAAUGUAGAGAAGAAAGUAAAAAUACUCAGAUUGCUAAACUCGGAAAGAACACAGAUACUCAUGAAAAGCAAAGUACAAUAGAGGGUCACUAGAAAACCCUAGGUAAAGAGAAAAUUACAUGGAAUCAUGGGUAAACCAUUUACAAGUCACAACACAAAAAUAAAGAAAUCAUAGUAGAGCAGUUAAAAGAAAGAAAAAUCGGAAAAAUCCUAGUUUUAGGAAGAUAAACAGUUUGACAAAAAUAAAAUCGGUAAAAAUCAGAAAACGCUUUGAAGCUUUAGAAAAUAACUUAGAUCUUAAGUAGAUCAUGACACAAAAAAGAAAGAAAAACCUUAAGAUUUAGGGUUUCAGAGAGAAACCUAGAGAAUGAGAAAGCCUGGAACAUACUGGUUUUGAGUCGAUAACAGACUCUCAACAUUAGACUCGCCGGAGAGAGACCAGACAUGGUCGUAGAACUCAAGUCGUGCACCUCUCAGAUAGUGAUCUUCACAAUAGGGUUUCAUUCCUCGAACAAAAGGGUCGUAUAAGGGAUUGAGGGGUGGUACAGGUAGCAUGAAGCCUGGAAAGCCAUGGUCGGUGAAUAGAGGUCAGAAAGUGACUGGAGGCGGCUAGGGUUUCAUGGGGGCUUUGGAGCGUUUGAGAGAUGAGGGGGAUACAAGG
Molecule: long non-coding RNA, 2158 nt
Filed under: Nicotiana benthamiana
Lineage: Eukaryota; Viridiplantae; Streptophyta; Magnoliopsida; Solanales; Solanaceae
Description: long non-coding RNA (NBEN_LNC025674)
Source: RNAcentral